This 468-nucleotide ribosomal RNA is filed under the name uncultured bacterium. RNAcentral's name for it is "partial 16S ribosomal RNA". It matches the Rfam family "Bacterial small subunit ribosomal RNA", at positions 28 to 507 of the family's 1533-position model. The record is from RNAcentral.
GACGAACGCUGGCGGCGUGCUUAACACAUGCAAGUCGAACGGAAAUGCCCUGCUUUUGUGGGGUGCGCGAGUGGCGAACGGGUGAGUAACACGUGAGUAACCUGCCCUUGACUUUGGGAUAACUUCAGGAAACUGGGGCUAAUACCGGGUAGGAGCUCCUGCUGCAUGGUGGGGGUUGGAAAGUUUCGGCGGUUGGGGAUGGACUCGCGGCUUGUCAGCUUGUUGGUGGGGUAGUGGCUUACCAAGGCUUUGACGGGUAGCCGGCCUGAGAGGGUGACCGGCCACAUUGGGACUGAGAUGCGGCCCAGACUCCUACGGGAGGCAGGAGUGGGGAAUAGUGCACAAUGGGCGGAAGCCUGGUGCAGCAACGCCGCGUGCGGGAUGACGGCCUUCGGGUUGUAAAGCGCUUUCGCCUGUGACGAAGCGUGAGUGACGGUAAUGGGUAAAGAAGCACCGGCUAACUACGUG